Molecule: long non-coding RNA, 535 nt
Organism: Cyprinus carpio (common carp)
Lineage: Eukaryota; Metazoa; Chordata; Actinopteri; Cypriniformes; Cyprinidae
Exons: 3
Source: RefSeq, a predicted model, not a curated record
GGAACUUAUCCAGGUCAGCUGACCACACCGGGCAUGCAAUAGCUGUACGAUCUUGGAGUGAGGUUACGAAAGAAAUACAUACAGGAAGAGCCCUUCCUCACACCUUCUUUCAGUCCUAAAGAAGUUUACAUUCGCUCUACCAACAUUGUCCACACCAUUGAGUCGGCUAAGUGUUUGGUGGCAGGACAGUUCCAACAGGAACAAGCAGGUGUUGUGUCCAUCCUCACCGAUAAGGCAGAGAACGAAAUCCUCUAUCCCAACUAUAACAGAUGCAAGCUGCUCAAGCAGCUCAUUGGGUAAAACCUGCUUUGAUGAAAAACUUGCUACUUUGAUAAUAAUGAUGAUAACAAACAUUUUAUAGAGAACCAUUCAUACAGAAAUGUAGUUCACAAUGGAAAGUUAGUUGGAAAAUAGUAGUAGUAGUAGUUAAAAAAAAUAUUCAAAUUUAAGAAGGAGAUUUAUCAACUCGUAAAUGUUCCUAAAUAUUUAAUCAUUUUUCUUUUUGUAUUUUUUUGUCUUUUUUUUUAAUUGAGGU